This 27-nucleotide non-coding RNA is filed under the name Cricetulus griseus (Chinese hamster). The record is from RNAcentral. Lineage: Eukaryota; Metazoa; Chordata; Mammalia; Rodentia; Cricetidae.
AGGAGAAUUAAGCUAUGGACAGCAGGA